This 619-nucleotide ribosomal RNA is filed under the name uncultured bacterium. RNAcentral's name for it is "bacterial SSU rRNA". It matches the Rfam family "Bacterial small subunit ribosomal RNA", at positions 338 to 951 of the family's 1533-position model. The record is from RNAcentral.
CCUACGGGAGGCAGCAGUGGGGAAUUUUGGACAAUGGGCGCAAGCCUGAUCCAGCAAUGCCGCGUGAGUGAAGAAGGCCUUUGGGUUGUAAAGCUCUUUUGUCAGGGAAGAAACGGUGGAGGUUAAUACCUUCUGCUAAUGACGGUACCUGAAGAAUAAGCACCGGCUAACUACGUGCCAGCAGCCGCGGUAAUACGUAGGGUGCAAGCGUUAAUCGGAAUUACUGGGCGUAAAGCGUGCGCAGGCGGUUGUGCAAGACAGAUGUGAAAUCCCCGGGCUCAACCUGGGAAUUGCAUUUGUGACUGUACGGCUAGAGUGUGUCAGAGGGGGGUAGAAUUCCACGUGUAGCAGUGAAAUGCGUAGAGAUGUGGAGGAAUACCGAUGGCGAAGGCAGCCCCCUGGGAUAACACUGACGCUCAUGCACGAAAGCGUGGGGAGCAAACAGGAUUAGAUACCCCGGUAGUCCACGCCCUAAACGAUGUCUACUAGUUGUCGGGUCUUUAUUGACUUGGUAACGCAGCUAACGCGUGAAGUAGACCGCCUGGGGAGUACGGUCGCGAAGAUUAAAACUCAAAGGAAUUGACGGCUGAGAGAGCGACGACGACGACGAGGGAGGAGG